This 236-nucleotide long non-coding RNA is filed under the name Elaeis guineensis (African oil palm). RNAcentral describes it as "long non-coding RNA (EGUI_LNC025544)". The record is from RNAcentral. Lineage: Eukaryota; Viridiplantae; Streptophyta; Magnoliopsida; Arecales; Arecaceae.
GGGGUCUUCCAAGAGAGAGAGAGCUUUUGUGAGGAAAAUUUUCUGCGAGAGAGAAAUUGGAUGUAUGAGGGUUGAAGGUGAGAUCUCAUUUUGUAAAAUUUUUUUUUCAUAAUGAAGUUUGCAUGCCCUGUAGAGGUGAGCCCUUUUGUGGCUGAUCCACGUAUUUUUAUUGUUUUUGUUUUAUUUCUUCUUUUUUCCUGCUGCAUCACGCAGUACCGAAAAGAUCUUGAGAGGUG